Molecule: ribosomal RNA, 240 nt
Filed under: uncultured bacterium
Lineage: Bacteria
Description: partial 16S ribosomal RNA
Rfam family: Bacterial small subunit ribosomal RNA
Source: RNAcentral
UACGUAGGGGGCGAGCGUUAUCCGGAUUUAUUGGGCGUAAAGCGUGUGUAGGCGGUUUGUUAAGUCUAAAAUAAAAGCCUGGAGCUUAACUCCAGUUCGUUUUAGAAACUGGCAGACUUGAGUGUGGUAGAGGCAAGUGGAAUUUCUAGUGUAGCGGUUAAAUGCGUAGAUAUUAGAAGGAACACCAGUGGCGAAGGCGGCUUGCUGGGCCAUUACUGACGCUGAGACACGAAAGCGUGG